CCUACGGGAGGCAGCAGUAGGGAAUCUUUCACAAUGGGCGAAAGCCUGAUGGAGCAACGCCGCGUGCAGGAUGAAGGCCUUCGGGUUGUAAACUGCUUUUAUAAGCGAGAAAUAUGAUGGUAACUUAUGAAUAAGGAUCGGCUAACUACGUGCCAGAAGCCGCGGUCAUACGUAGGAUCCGAGAAUUAUCCGGAGUGACUGGGUGUAAAGAGUUGCGUAGGUGGCAUAAUGAGUCGCUAGUGAAAUCUGGUGGCUCAACCAUUCAGACUAUUAUCUAAACUGUUAAGCUCGAGACCGUUAGGGGUAACUGGAAUUUCUAGUGUAGGAGUGAAAUCCGUAGAUAUUAGAAGGAACACCAAUAGCGUAGGCAGGUUGCUGGGACGGUUCUGACACUAAGGCACGAAAGCGUAGGGAGCAAACGGGAUUAGAUACCCUGGUAGUC
This 442-nucleotide ribosomal RNA is filed under the name uncultured bacterium. RNAcentral's name for it is "partial 16S ribosomal RNA". It matches the Rfam family "Bacterial small subunit ribosomal RNA", at positions 338 to 795 of the family's 1533-position model. The record is from RNAcentral.